GGGCCGCUAGCUCAGUUGGCAGAGCACCGGCCUUUUAAGCCGAGGGUCACAGGUUCGAGCCCUGUGCGGCCCA
Molecule: transfer RNA, 73 nt
Filed under: Deltaproteobacteria bacterium
Lineage: Bacteria; Pseudomonadati; Myxococcota; Myxococcia
Description: tRNA-Lys
Rfam family: tRNA
About the family: Transfer RNA (tRNA) molecules are approximately 80 nucleotides in length. Their secondary structure includes four short double-helical elements and three loops (D, anti-codon, and T loops).
Source: RNAcentral